AUGGCGGUGUCGAAGAGGCUCGCGGCGGCGGCGCUGCUGGUGCUGCUCGCGCUGGCGGCGCCCGCGGCCGCCAAAACGACGCGGGAGGCCGCCGAGGCGGCGUCCGCGGCGAAGACGACGCCGGGCGGCGCGGAGGUGGCGCCGGGCAAGGAGGAAGAGUCGUGGACGGGGUGGGCCAAGGACAAGAUCUCCGAGGGCCUCGGCCUGGACAAGAUCUCCGAGGGGCUGGGGCUCAAGCACCACGCCGACGAGGAGGAGGCCGCCCGCAAGGCCGGGCACACCGUCAAGUCCGCCCGCGAGACCGUCCAGCACACCGCCUCCGAGACGGGGAGGCAGGCGAGCGGCAAGGCUUCGGACGCCAAGGAGGCGGCGGAGCAGGCGGCGACCGGGGCGGCCAACAAGGCGGGGCAGGCCAAGGACAAGGCGGCGGAGACGGUGAAGGGCACGGCCGGCGAGGCGUCUAAGAAGGCGGAGCAGGCCAAGCACAAGACCAAGGAGACCGCGGAGGCGGCCGCCAAGACUGGCGCCGAGACGCACGAGCGGUCGAAGCAGGGCAAGGCCAAGGUUGAGGAGACGGCCAAGGAGAAGGCCGGACAGGGGUACGAGACUCUGAAGCAAACCAAGGACGCGGCCGCCGAGAAGGCCGGCACCGCCAAGGACACGGCUGCGGAAAAGGCUGGCCAGGGGUACGAGACGCUGAAGCAGUCCAAGGACGCCGCCGCGGAGAAAUCCGGCGGCGCCACGCAGACGGCCGCGGAGAAGGCAGCGGCAGCCAAGGACGCCGCCGCGGAGAAAGCCGGUGGCGCCACGCAGACGGCCGCUGAGAAGGCAGCGGCUGCGAAGGACGCAGCCGCGGAGAAGGCCGGCGCCGCCAAGCAGACGGCAGCAGAGAAGGCAGCGGCAGCGAAGGAUGCCGCCGCUGAGAAGGCCCGCGCCGCGAAGGACGCGGCGUGGGAGACGACGGAGUCCGCCAAGGACGCCACAUGGCAGGCGCAGGAGAAGCUGAAGCAAUACAACGACGUCGCGUCGGAGAAGGCCGCGAACGUGAAGGACGCCGCUGCGGAGAAAGCCGGCGCGACCAAGCAGACGGCCGCGGAGAAGGCAGCGGCAGCGAAGGAUACCGCCGCGGAGAAGGCCGCGGCCGCCAAGGAUGCCGCGUGGAAGAACGCCGAGGCGGCCAAGGGCACUGUCGGGGAGAAGGCAGGGGCGGCCAAGGACGCCACGUUGGAGAAGACGGCGUCGGCUAAGGACGCCGCGUGGGAGACGGCGGAGGCGGCCAAGGACACGGCCUGGGAGACGGCGGAGGCGGCCAAGGGGAAGGCCAACCAGGGGUACGAGAAGGUGAAGGAGAAGGUUGGGGAGGUGAAGGACAAGGUCACCGGCGCGGCAGCCGACGGCAAGGGCAAGAAGCACCGCAAGGACGACGAGCUGUGA
Molecule: ribosomal RNA, 1434 nt
Filed under: Triticum aestivum (bread wheat)
Lineage: Eukaryota; Viridiplantae; Streptophyta; Magnoliopsida; Poales; Poaceae
Description: partial small subunit ribosomal RNA
Source: RNAcentral